AAGUUCCCAUGAGUGCUCCCUUCUGUGAGUAUUUAAAUUACAUGGGGUAGAUAAAUGGAUGCUUGCGAUGGUUGUUCUCGGUUGUCAGCUUGGCUAUAUACGGAAUGAACUACAGUCCAGGAAUGGAGAGCCCACCCGUGGUCCAGACAUUGAAUCAAGAAGACACAGGCUUUUGAUCCAGAUCUUGAGGCAGGAUGACAUAUAUAUGCUUUCGAUCUGGAUCGACACACACCUUUAAUCCCAAUCUUGAGGCUCACCUUUAAUCUGGGCCAUGCUGUCUGCUGGAGGCCUGCAUAAGGACAAUGAAAGAAGGGGGUUGUGUGUGUGUGUGUGUGGGGGGGGUGUUCCUUCCCUCCUAAUCUGUAAGCUCUGCUCUCCCUGAGACAGACAGACAGACAGGCACACACACACACGUUGGUUGGCUGGCCCCUUAAGGAGAAGGCAAGCCCACAUGUAUGCCUCGUGGUUUCUCCAAAUGAAGGGGCUUUGGUAGGGUAGGGCUUAUUGCGCUCAGAGGAUGGGAAAAUUCAAAGGCAGUGUGGCAUAUAACAGUUUUCUGUUAGCUUGUUUUCUACAAGAUCUGCUUUCUCUAAACUUUGAGUUAUUAUACUACUGCAUAAUUAUAGUUUUUAACUUUCAAUCGAAAGCGUAAGUGUGAAUUAAUUGAUUUUGUGAUGAUAUUGGCAAGUCAGUCAUCCAGUCCUUGUGUCUGUCUUCCCUAUCUAAGGAGCCUCCAUGGACGUGUAAACUCACUCACGUUAGGAGUACCACUCGGGUGAGAGCUUAAGAAGGGACGGACGCUUGGAAGCAGCCCUAGAAUCUUUCAUAAUUGCCAGGGAAACAGUCAUCUGUGGUAUAACAGAUAAUAACAGAUAUGAGCUUUGUGUGCUAGGACCAGAAUCCAGAUCACUUGGCAGAGUCUGGAAAGGGUCACCAGGACCUCCGCCAGGUUCAGUUCAAGUUCCUAAAUGUCGAGGCUCCACUGUUAGGAAUGAUGAACAAUCCCUCUCUUCAGCCUCGUAUUUGACAGAGGAUGCGCUGUGCGUUGUUUUAAACAGAGACGAGACUGUCUCCUCCGGCCUCUAAAUGACAGUUCACAUUCACAGGUUUAAGGAGACUACAUCUGGUUGAAGAAACAAAUAUUUCUCUAUAAAAUUCACUUUAGAAGUGGACAGUGGACAAUGCUGUCCCGGUUUAGACAGUGAGAUUUGGAAUGUGACUGGGUAUUAGCAAUUGUAAGACCUUGGGGUUUUUGUUUUUGUUUUUUAUUUUCAUAGUUAAGAUAAAGGCAAUGUCUACUUUACUGAGACAUGGGAAUACUUUCGUUAAUGCACAGUAUGACUGGGAAUCACUGGCACAUAGUAGGCAUCUAACAAAGGAUGUUCAUGUUGUUUCUUUAUCAAUGGCACUGAUGAUACAGGCUUUUAUGGGAAGGAUUCAGUCAGAAGGGAGGAGCUGCAGCCAGAGUGCUUCAGCCGUGAACUGUUGAUGUGAACAGGGAUAUAAACCCAGAGUAGUGCAAGGAUCUGGGAACCGCGGGGGAAGAGGUGGUUUUAAUAGAUGAUAGGUUUGUGAGAGUCUUAAGCGGAGCAGUGAUAUCAUCAACAUUGAAUUUUUAGACAAGAUGUCUGGUUUGGGUUUGAUUGGUAGAAAAAGUGCAGAAAAAGAGAAUAAUGGAUGAGAAAAACUACCCUUUAUUUUUAUCAUAUACGUGUACAAACUGAGGUGCUGACAUACUGUUGUGCUUUUGAACUUCUUAAACCUAUGAAGUAAGUGCCCUUCACCCCUCUUUUGAAGAAUAGAAACCAGGUCUCUGAUUCUGCCACCAGGUAAUGGUUUUGUGGACUCAGAUUAGAUCACUAUUAAUUAUGCAUCAGGAACUGGAAGAAGCAUGUGAAGGCCCCUGUGUAAUCUGCACGGCAGCCUAUGAUUCGCUAAUUCUGGAAACUAACCAAACCCCUUCCACUGUGAAGUAUCAGCCCUCCAUUUCAGCCAACAACCUUUCCUAGGUGGUCUGCCCAGCGAAUCAUUUGCUCAAAUUAUAGACUAAAGUGAAAAGAGAAUAAUGUUUAGACCAGCAGCUUUCGUGAACUUGGUUCUUUGUUAGCUUCUUAGAGAUAAGUUAUUUUUUAGUUGUAAAGUAUCUUUUAUUCUCCAGAUGUAAUUGUCAUCCAGGAGGCUUGCUGCUGAAUACACUCACCCUUUCUAGUUUUGUUUUGUUUUGUUUUGUGUUGUUUUUUUUCUGAUCUCUUGCUGGCUGGUUCAACUUAGCUAUUUUGGCCCAAUCUCCUCUCCAAGCCAAUGGAUUCAAAUUGUUUUCUCCUUCUGCAAAGCUCUCUUAAAUCUCUCUUUCCUGUCUUUCUCAUGAGAGUUGGGGGCUAUCUUAUCUCUGACUCAUUCUGUCAAAUCUUUCUCUGCUUCGUCACUUUGUCUGCCCCUCAAUUAGACUCUGCUUUCAAACAUGACUGCUUUCUUCUACAAGUUAACUUUACCUUCAUUGUUUGAUAUUAAAGGUAUGUGCUAACUGUGUUUAUUGAAGCCAGAGGCUGUGUAUUGAAGCCAGAGAGAUUAAAGCUCUGACCGUCCUGGAAUUCUGUUCCAAUCUGGCCUUGAACUGAGAGAUCCAGCUGUCUCUGCCUCCUAAGUGUGGUGUUAAAGGAGAGAGAGCACCACGGAAGCCCAGCUUGAGAACCUCUUAUAAGAAGCAGAUCUCUGUGACCUAGUGUGAGAAUCUACACAUAUAAAAAUGUUCCUCCCACUCUACAUAAAUCACCACUUCACAGUUGAAACCUUCAGGCUGCUUCUCGGAGAAGCCAUUGUUUAUUCAGAAAGCUCUGCAGCGUCCUUGAGCUCCUCCCUUCUCACUGAAGCUGACCCUUUGAGCAGUGGCACCACCCGCGGGAGCUACCCACGGGAACCCGGUGCGCCCCCUGCUUACUGUUCUUCCACCUGUUUGGUGGCUGUUUUGGUUGUUGACCUAACUACAUCUGGAAUUAACCAAAAUCCAAGCAGCUGAGAACACCUGUCAGGGAUUUUUUUUUUAACUAUUUGAGGUGGUAAGAUCCACCUUUAAUCUGGUCACGCCUUCUAAUGGCGGCCUGUAUAAGUGACGGUAAGAAGGAAGGAUGCUCUGCCUACCUGCCCUUGCUCUCACUGGCAAGACCAUUCCUCCACUGGCACUGGAACCUAUUUCUCUGGGAUCCUGGUGUAGUGAAGACCCGCUGAGACAUCUGGUCUCCUGGAAUAAACAACUAUAGGACUCCUGGGCCUCCCAUUGGUAGACAACCAUUGUUGAACUAGUUUGAUCACAGCCUGUAAGCCAUUCUAAUAAAAAUGUAUAAAAAUAUUAUAUCCUAGAAUAUAUAUUCUUUGUGUUUUCUUCCUCUAGAGAACCCCGACUACUAUAACAUGCAAUUUUCAGUUCCACAUACUAGUGAGGUCAUCCAGUAAAUGUCUUUCUGAUCCAGGCUUAUCCCAUUUAUCAUAGUGUCCUCUAGGUUAGUCCGUGCUGUCUGUCAUAAAUGGCAUUCUUUUUAAAGGUUGCAUUGUUUUCUACUCUGCAUAGAUACAUUUUCUUCUCUUGUUUUGUUUGAGGGGUGGUUAGAUGGGGGUGUCACGUAUAACUGGUUGGUCUGGAACUCACUACUUAGAUCAGAGAGGUCCCAAGCUUAUAAUUUUUCUGCCUCUGCCUCCUGACUGCCUAGUUUCCUCGGUUUUCCCUUCGCACGUCUUAGUCGAUAGACCCUUAAGAUGCUUCCACACCCCGGCCAUUGUACAUACUCCCUCGGUGAGCAUGGGAGUACACACGUCAUUCGUUUCUCUGAGUACAUAUGUACCUGAAAUAGCCUCGCUAGCUUACAUGACAGCUCUGGGUUUCACCUUUGAGACCCUCCAUGUUGCGCCCCAUAGGAUCCAGUGCUAAUGGACAUUCCCUUCCACAGUGGGCUUUACCAAUAUCCAUUGGCUUUUGUCUGUGAUAAACAAAGGCCGUUCUAACAGGUGAAGGGCUUCUUCAUUGAGAAUUGCAUUUAGGUUUCUCUGAUUACUGAUGAUUUUCUCAUCUACCUACUGGUUAUGUCUUGUUUAAAAAUGGCCGUUAUGGUCCUUUGUCUAUUUCGUUACUUGUUCCCUUGCUAUUGAUCUGUUUGAAAUUUCUCUACAUUUGGGUUGGUAACCCCUUAUGGUAUAUGGUUUGCAAAUAUGAAUGGUUUCUCACUUACAUUUAAAUGUUGUAUAGGGACAUUACAAUUGCAGCUAACUGUAGUUUUUCUCCAAUGUGAUUUUAACUGAAAGCUGAAUUCUCAAGGUUAAUUUCCUGGCUAUGUGAAUACAUUAUGUAUCCGUGUACAGACGCUCGCUAUGCCUUCACUAAUAAAUUGGUAUAAAUUGCAGUAA
Rattus norvegicus (Norway rat) is the source of this 4395-nucleotide non-coding RNA. The record is from RefSeq and is a predicted model, not a curated record. Lineage: Eukaryota; Metazoa; Chordata; Mammalia; Rodentia; Muridae.